Molecule: ribosomal RNA, 306 nt
Filed under: Triticum aestivum (bread wheat)
Lineage: Eukaryota; Viridiplantae; Streptophyta; Magnoliopsida; Poales; Poaceae
Description: partial small subunit ribosomal RNA
Source: RNAcentral
AUGGCCACCUCCUCCUCCUCCCCGCUCCGGAUCCCCACACCAACCCACCACCCCGCCGUGGGGGUGUGUCCGCGGCAGCUGUCCUUCCACGUCGUCUCCCCGCAGCAAGCGCUGGCACCGGGCGACAGCGACGAUGCCAACGGGCCCACUGGUGUGCCCGUGCCCUUCUACCGUGCAGGCGGCUGUUCCGGCGGGGGUCAACGCCGCAGGUGGUGCGCGAGGGGCUGCCACCGUCGCGUGCUGCCGGAACAAGCAGCAAGGGAGCUUCCGCUUGGCGCGUGCAUCUCCUUCCUUCGGCAGAAGUAG